Aedes aegypti (yellow fever mosquito) is the source of this 669-nucleotide long non-coding RNA. RefSeq lists it as uncharacterized. The transcript is spliced from 3 exons. The record is from RefSeq and is a predicted model, not a curated record. NCBI's taxonomy places the organism in Eukaryota, Metazoa, Arthropoda, Insecta, Diptera, Culicidae.
GUACACUGAAAUAAAUCAAUGAGACUAUUUUAUUGGAUAUUUCAUAUAAGAUCGACUCCGUGCUGAACUUGUAUGUUUUAUAUGUGUAACUGUUCAGGUUCACCUGCGAUCAAAUAAAAAUAACAAAAAGUAGAGCCAUUUUGGAUCAUAUGCGUAUACUAUAUGUUCAGCACUAGCUUUGCAUAUAACUUUGAUAGAUCCACCUCUGUGGUGCUUACUAUAUGCAUGUUCGUCAUAUCGAUAGUAUAUGAUUUCAGCACUACAGCACUGGAAGUAAAUUUACAAAAUGGUGAAAAAACAAAAGUUCCGAACUUGACAUUUCUGUGCUUUGACUUUAUCAUGCUUGCCAUCUAAAGAUGAUACUGUUUGCUACUAUAAAUGAUUCUCUUGAGCGGCUUUUACAUUGAGAGAAGGUGAAAAUCAUAAGUUCCGGAUUAAGGCCUUCUUGAUUUGAAUCUGCAUAAAGAUGAUGGAUUGCUACGCAUGAAAACGGUAUCAUGGAAAAAUCGUCCAGGAAUUUAGCAUUUAGAUUUCAUUCUGGACCCAACUACAACAUAAUGAAGUGACCAAUGCGAGCUGUCAAUGAUCAAAUAUUAUAUAUUUAUUACGAAAUAUGCGUACAAAAUUUAUAAAAAUAAAAUUUGAAUAAACAUAUUUUUGAAGAAUCAA